Drosophila yakuba is the source of this 6444-nucleotide long non-coding RNA. RefSeq lists it as uncharacterized. The transcript is spliced from 2 exons. The record is from RefSeq and is a predicted model, not a curated record. NCBI's taxonomy places the organism in Eukaryota, Metazoa, Arthropoda, Insecta, Diptera, Drosophilidae.
CUUUAAGAACUUGUAUUGGGUUUCAAAACAAUUUUGAACAAACUUUCAGAAUAGAAACACUUAAACAGUAAUGAGAUUUUGAAGAAAACUUGUUCUUAACACGUGAGAUUUUUAAUAACAGAUAACAAACAGAAAACUUGAAAGAAUUUUAAGUAUUGCAUAGAUUCAAGGUAGAAACAGAAUUUGGUGUUUGAUUUUUUUGUGUUUUAUAAUAUUUUUUAUGCUUUUAUAUUACAACCGUGAUUUGUGCAUUUUUGAGUAAUAUCCUCGGAAACCGAAACAUUGGUAGUGAUGUUUGCUUGUGGGUUAUAACAAAACACAACACUUUGCAAGCGCGCGUAUACUUUUUGUAUCUUGCAGAUACAUUAUUUUGGGUUCACUUGGGUGAGUUGGGAUAUUAUUUUUAAUAAUGUUGGCAGCAGCGAUAACAAGGCAAUAACAAACAACGCGCGUAUAACUAUGUGCGAUCCAGAGAUCAGGGAGAUCCGCUGAUCACUUCCACUUUCUGCUGCGUUCGAUUCGUAAAUGUUGCGUACUUCUUUCUUGCCACAACAAAUUCCGAAAAACCGGGCGAAAAGAAAGAAGCAGAAAGAGAGCAGGCUCUCUGCAAACCGAAACCGAAAACGAAACCAAAACCGAAACAGGAAUGCAAUUGCAGGGGAUCAUGAGUGCGAGUGCUAGUGCCAGUGCCAGGGGAACGGAGAGAGAGAGCUCGUAACGGGGCGCAUAAGCAGGAAUGCAGCAGGGUAACAAAGCCAUAAGGGAGGAUAAUGCAUUCGGAUCGGAGAGACCUCUCGGGAAGGAGCAAAUGGGAGAGCUACGCUUCGGAGAAGCCGGAGAAGAAGGGAACCGGAGUACGAAGAGCUUUUCUCCGAGGUGGCAUGGACAUCAAACAAUAGGCGUCUGGACAGGGAUUUCCAGGCCUUUGUUCCCAAAUCCUUGAUUGACUAAAUGACCCAACUACGAAGACCAGCCGAGAAGCAGGAAUCAUGGAUGGCGGCACUUGAAAAAAAAAAACCCAAAACAGUGCCUUCAGGAAGUCCACAUCAACAGUUCGUGCCAGCGAAAGGAUUGGCAAAUAUAUAUUGUAUUUCAAUUAAUAUGUAAUUCGCUUCAAUAAAUUAUGCUCUGUGCCAAAAAGUGUGUAAUAAGGUCUUAGGACAUAUUUUACUCACAAAAUAAAUCUGAUAAAUUAAAAAAUAACCAGUACUAACAAAAAAGGUGGUACUCUAUCCAAAAGCUUCUUCAAACAGUAAUAGAUGAUAAUAAUAUAAUUGAUAAUAAUUUCAAUUUAUAGGUAGAUUUCUUUGCAUUAUCAUUUAAACAAUCUAUAUGCAUUUUUCUCCGUGCUAAGAGGGAGUAAGCAUCUGUGUGAAAUGGAAGGAAGGCAGCACCGAGGGAAUCCACAGAGAGAGUGCCCUAUCCUACUUACUUACUACCAGUAAAAGUUGUCUGACCUGAAAGAGGCCUCUUCUGGCGAUAAUGUUGUUGACAGGUGCUAAUUGCUUGCCUAGAUCUACAUAAGUCUAUUGAACCCCAGAACGCGAGAGCUUAAGAGCCACUACAAGCCAUCAGAAGACCAAGAAGGCAUAACGCUUUUAUGGUCAUGCAAAUCCAACAAAAGAAGUUCAAGUCAACCGGAAGUCAGAGUUGCAGAAGAGGUGAACAAAAAUCGGACCAGAUUGCUCGAUCGUUACUGACUUAAUAACAGGGAAUAAACAGGACACGUCCCCUUUUCUGAUUGCACACAAAAAAUAAAUUAUACAGAGAACGCACUAAAAUAUUCGCUGACUUCUGAGAUUAGCAAUCAAAGUUCGGCAAUUUUAUGUUCAGAUUAUAAGACUUCAAACAUCAUCUGUUAAGAUGAAAUAAUUCGGUUGAUAUAUUUUAAUGGUAACAAAAUUACAAUUUUUAUUACAUUUGUUAGUCAAAUAGGACGAAGCUAGCACCGACAUAAAAGUGUGAGCAAUCAAUUUCAAAAUAUAAUCACUUUAUGGCUGAUUUUGCAAAAUUGGAAAGCGGGAGAAAGUUGCCGCAGAUGUAGUCGGAAGUAAGAAAUUGAGACAGGAGAUUGAGUUGUCGCUGUCUGGGAUCCAAUUUUCCCCCAAGUGCUUUUUGGGCGUCCACGUAAUUCGCACGGAAAAUAGAAGUCACAGCGCUGCGAUGCCUGUACUGUACAUCCCAUAACUGUCAGGUCCUGCAGGAUAGUACAGACUGCCCAGGACAUUGCACUGCGGAGAGGUGAGCGGAGAGCAGAAGCAGGAGCGGGAACAGGAGCAGGAGCAGGAACAGGGAACCAUACCAAAACGGGAGAGAGAGAAGAGCUCGUGUUGCACUGAGGGGGUUCGAUGAGGUUUGACAGAGGGUCUGACGUAUUGCUGCGAUGUAUAUGCAUAAACCAUCGAGGAAGGAAAAGGAGAAUAGUUUGCAGCUGUCGCUCUACGGCUUUUACUACCGCUGACACACACACAAUCAGCAAUCACCAAUCACCAAUGCAAACCAACCUUCUUAGCGCAUGCCACAAACAAGAAAAGGGGAGUUGGCAUUGCUGGAAAAAGGGAACGCAGCCAAGGAUCUUACAAACAUUCCUACAGAUGGCAGACGGCCUGGUCUCUCAGGGGUCAGGGCGAUUCUUACAGGGCAGCGUCCUCGUCUGAAGAUCGUAUAAGAACUGUAAUAGUGAGGGGUUCUCGAGGAUCUGAGAGGACUCCGAGUUGGAAGAACCACGAAGAGUACUGGAACAUACCGUCGAUCAAUUGGUGUCACUCCCGGAUCCAUUUCGAACAUCUCAAACAUCUGUUGAAUAGAUGGAGUACGAUGUUUACCAACUCAAGAUACGUUUAGGUGUAUUUGAAUUAAAUAACAAAGUAUUAUUUGUAGCUUAUGGUUACAAUUUUCCAAUAACUUUUCAGUUUGUUAGUGAUUGAAAAUUGCCGAAGAUACUUUUGGAUUUCUGGAUUUCUUUCCAAGCAGAUAUUUCCUUUAAUAACAAAUAAUUUAUUGGUAGGCGAAUUGUGUAUCUGAUUAUUUAACAGUUUCUUAUAUAUACUUUUGGAUUUCUGGAUUGUCUGGACCAAGCAGAUAUUUCCUUUAACAACAAAGAAUUUAUUGGUAGGAGAAUUGUGUAUCUGAUUAUUAUAUUACUAUCACUGCAAUUACUUCCACCGGUUGAGUCUUGGAUAUCCUCACUUUUUAGUAUUAAGGAGCGAUUGGAGCUGGGAUCAUUAAACAUAGAGACAGGAGAAAGAACGAGGAAAAAAGAGAUAGAGAGGUGGCUACCUGGCUACCUUUGGACGAUCUGAUCUGAGAAGAUCUGGUCUGGUCUGGGCCGGGACUGGGACUUGGACCUGAAUCUGAACCUCAGGCUGAGUCUGAGGUUGCGGCUCAGGCUACACCGGUUUUCAAAUUUGGGAUAUGUUCACCUCACGUUUUCUGCUUUCGUUCAUUUCAGCUAUUUUAAGUAACAAUAACGAGAGGAGCCGCCGGCCAAGGAGUGCGAACGGGACGGGGAUACGCGGAGCGGUACGGCAACUAAAGCUGCCGUUGCCUGUUCCGAAACCUUCGGGCCAAGUACCAAGUACAUUCAUAAGAGUAGCGGCGGCCUUAAAUGUCCCAGGUUGAGAUUCAGGUUCAGGUUGAGGGCACUGAGAUGAAAAUGCUGGUUUAAAAAAAAAAUUAAUUUUACACCCGAAACCGAACUAAGACUUUCAAGCAAAGCUUGUUUCAUUUGCGAUAUUUCUUAGAGUUUUUCGAGAAAUGACCCAGAACUCUACUUCUCAAUCCGAAAACGUGGUACACGAUUUCUCUCAGUGCACGCACAAGAUAGGUAGAGGAUCUUAGACCGCUCUUUCCACACAAGUUCCUUCUCUCUUUUUCUCUCUGUGUGUGCUGCGCUUUUGUUUUUCCCAUUCACGGAAUUCCUGGAAAUUUGCCGAUCACUAAAUCUCUUGCGCCUUUUGUUGUUGCGUUUCCUACGAAGCAAAAGCGGAAAACAGGACCAGAUCAGGAAAGGACACUGCCCGCAGGAGGGAGAAAGAGUGUGCAAUUAGCCUGGAAGGGACAAUGGGGGUUUUGGGCUCCAAGUGGAUCCCAGGCGUGGGAGCUUCUUCUUCCUCUUCUGUCUCAAUAAAUAAAGCAAUCCCGAACGGAAGUAAGCCAAAUCCAAACGAAAUCAAAUGGUGUGGCAGAUGUCCCACAAGAAAACCAUAUAGGCAAAAUAUGAAGAAGUGGAAAUGGAGAAGAACGAGUGGAAAAGAAGCCGAGAAGCAGAAAAACAGAAAAGCAAAAGGUAGCGCACACGCACUUUUACACCUGGUUCGCUUUUCUUGCGCAAAGGAGGUGUGGAACCAGAGCAAAAGAGACAGCCCGAAGAAGCACCCUUAAAAGGAAAACCAAAAAAAAUAGUAGUAAGUAGCAGUAGUUCGAGCACCCCUUCAUGGCAACCGUCUUCCACUACCCACCUUGGUUUCCACCAUCCACUUCAGACUGGAAUGUAGGAAAGUGGAACGAACCAGGGGUGGAACCUGGGCGAGGGGUGCGCCGUGGGGUGCAGCCUGCAAAUGUCGCGCUUUUUGCCUCCUUGAUAGGAUCUUGUAGGGCACUUACGUAUGUCCAGGUUGCAGAGAGGGUUUGCUAAGCCCAGCGGUAAUGAAGAACACUUUUCCUUGCAUUCUCCACUUGGUGAUUUAAAAGUUUUAUUUAAAAAGGAGUAAAUACGUAAUACAUAAAAUCGAAAAACAAGGACUUUUCUUAACUGAAUCAAAUAAAUAUUUUUCGAGAUCUCCAGUCAGCCUCCAGUUUAAGCUUGUACUAUUGUUUAGCUAUUUUUCUGUAAAAGCAAUUGUCUACUACGACACAUAAAUAAUAAUAUAUUUAAAUAAUAAUAAGAAGAGUAUUCGAGACUUCGACUCUCCACAGAGACAGAGGACCUUUCCUGUUGCUCUGUAAAUGUUGCAUGUUGCAACAGAGGCAUUACACCUCACACCACUUAUUUUCACUCUGUAAUUGUUGCUGCCGAAAUGCAACAGAAGUUCUCUUGUGAGGCUUCGCCUUAAGGAUCUAGUAUUAGAAUGGACUGACUGCUUUCGGCUCCCUGUGUUCCUGGUCGUGUUUUUUGUCCUUUCAGGGCUUCCUGCAACUGCAACAGGAAGCCGAAAGUGGUUGCUGGGGAACGUAGCUCAAAAACCAGCAUUGUGGCACAGUGGGACAUUUGGGUUUGAAAUUUGCUUUAAAUUGAUUGUUUUAAAUUGAUUUUUAGAUAAGACAAUUUGCUUAAGGGAACCUUAAAAUGUAAGUCAACAGAUAUUAAUAAAUAAGAUCCAGACAUACAGACAUAUACAGAGCAAGUGUUAUGAGUCUCGUGAAUUAGCAUACAUUUAAAUACAAUAAUUUUAAUACAAUUAUGUAUGGAACUAGCAGCACUUGGAAAAACUCUUACUUCCAAUCAACUGCAGAGGAUCACCACCAACCCCGGUUACUCAUUUAAGAUUACCCGGAACAUCCACCAGUUUAGAACCAGUGUGCUGCAAGGGCGCAACUUUCGAGGGGAGCUGGUUAGACCCAAAGUCCACUACAGGCAUUGGCAUGUGCCGGAAAGUCGAUGGCCCCUUCUCGCCGAGGAGGGUGACCACCAGCAGCACCACCGCCAAAUCGAGGGCUGCUCCGCUCACGGCACUGAGCCAAUAAUUAAACUAAACUAAAGCAGCCAGCGGGAGGGGAGGAGAUGCAACCCCUAGUCGGUAAUUUGCCAGUCAGGAGUGGGAAUAGGGUGAACCACUUUUCAUUCCACAUUUUGAUGUCUGCAAAAAAGAGCGGAAAACUAAAGCAAGCAAGCAAAGCCAGCUGGCAAGCCGAAUAAGCAAACACCCUACCGAUGGAUGGAUUAGAACUAUGAACUAUUCGUUAAAAUAUACUCAUAAGAGAACGUCCAGAUAGUACUAGUUGCCAAUUUAUAUUGGGUGUAAGUUUAAGUAAUAUAUAGCUCAACUAUUUUAAAUUUAUGCAGUCUAGAGCUGUGCAACUGAGGCUGGAAAACAAUUGUUUUGAGUCUUCUCCCUAAGCGAAGGAUCAGUGGGCAAUGAAAACAAGGAUGCUUUGAGGUUGUUGAUCUAAGGUAGGAUGAUUGCUGUCGAACGUGUCAAACGUCUGGGCCAAGCUGUCGAGCUCUCGUCGAGGGUAAAGGGGUCAAUAAAUAUAAAAUGGUAUUGUAAAUUAGAGCAGAGCCAGCCGGAGGCAGGGGGUGCAAUGAAGAGCGAGGGUUGUCGGUUACAACUAAUCAGUUGGUCCCCUUGUAGAGGCCGGGCUAGGCUGGCCUGGGGCAUUGCAGGAUGCGUCGCGCGUGUCAAGAAAAUCCUGAAAAAUCUUGGUAAACAUCCUGACCCGAAGGCGGCGUAACUGUGCGAAAUCAAUACAGAUUAUGUGCGAGACCGGGAUAAGGCGACAGUU